GAUUUCUGGCCUGAAACAUUUUGCCGGCCACGGUUUCGUGUGUUAGUGCUUGGUGUUCUGGCCAUCCUUCCAAUUGCUAUGCGCUUCUCUUCAUUGAGGGGCGCGUGGUAUUGGAUCUUUUACUUUGAAAAAAUUAGAGUGUUUCAAGCAGGCUUUAUGCUAUGAAUACAUUAGCAUGGAAUAAUAAUUUAGGACUUCGGUUCUAUUUUGUUGGUUUCUAGGACUGAAGUAAUGAUUGAUAGGGAUAGUUGGGGGUGCUAGUAUUCAGCGGCCAGAGGUGAAAUUCUCGGAUUCGCUGAAGACUAACUUAUGCGAAAGCAUU
This 322-nucleotide ribosomal RNA is filed under the name Sandonidae sp. RNAcentral describes it as "SSU rRNA". The stretch from base 112 to 322 matches the Rfam family "Eukaryotic small subunit ribosomal RNA", at positions 744 to 955 of the family's 1831-position model. Lineage: Eukaryota; Cercozoa; Glissomonadida; Sandonidae. The record is from RNAcentral.